CCUACGGGAGGCAGCAGUCGAGAAUCAUUCACAAUGGGGGAAACCCUGAUGGUGCGACGCCGCGUGGGGGAAUGAAGGUCUUCGGAUUGUAAACCCCUGUCAUGUGGGAGCAAAUUAAAAAGAUAGUACCACAAGAGGAAGAGACGGCUAACUCUGUGCCAGCAGCCGCGGUAAUACAGAGGUCUCAAGCGUUGUUCGGAAUCACUGGGCGUAAAGCGUGCGUAGGCUGUUUCGUAAGUCGUGUGUGAAAGGCGCGGGCUCAACCCGCGGACGGCACAUGAUACUGCGAGACUAGAGUAAUGGAGGGGGAACCGGAAUUCUCGGUGUAGCAGUGAAAUGCGGAGAUAUCGAGAGGAACACUCGAGGCGAAGGCGGGUUCCUGGACAUUAACUGACGCUGAGGCACGAAGGCCAGGGGAGCGAAAGGGAUUAGAUACCCCGGUAGUC
Molecule: ribosomal RNA, 446 nt
Filed under: uncultured bacterium
Lineage: Bacteria
Description: partial 16S ribosomal RNA
Rfam family: Bacterial small subunit ribosomal RNA
Source: RNAcentral